This 331-nucleotide long non-coding RNA is filed under the name Zonotrichia albicollis (white-throated sparrow). RNAcentral describes it as "lncRNA (ENSZALG00000005518.1)". The record is from RNAcentral. Lineage: Eukaryota; Metazoa; Chordata; Aves; Passeriformes; Passerellidae.
GCACAGGUUCCUCAGGCACAAGACUCUGCAGGCUAUUUUGGUUGGUCCUGCCAUGAAGAUUGGUUGUAGGAGUGCUGUUCCCUCUGAGAGAGCGAGUUGCUGAGGACUUGGACAUUGUUCUUGUGAUAUGGUAUCAGGAACAAUCUGGAGACAAAGGCACAGGGGUCAGGCAGUGCUACAGCAUGCAAGUCAGCAGCCAGCUCUGUGCUGAGGAGACUCUUACCAUUCACUAAAUAUUGACUGAGAAAGGUACUGUUGUGCAGCAACAUUUUGGGUGUUCAGCACUUAGUUGAGGUGGUGUGCACAGGAGUUUUAGCCUCCCAGCUCUGGG